This 940-nucleotide ribosomal RNA is filed under the name uncultured bacterium. Its description in RNAcentral is "bacterial SSU rRNA". It matches the Rfam family "Bacterial small subunit ribosomal RNA", at positions 8 to 916 of the family's 1533-position model. The record is from RNAcentral.
AGAGUUGAUCAUGGCUCAGGAUGAACGCUGGCGGCAUGCCUAAGACAUGCAAGUCGAACGAAGUGGUCCAAUGAAGAUGGAGUGCUUGCACAAAGUUGGAUUUGGUUCGCCACUUAGUGGCAGACGGGUGAGUAACACGUGGGUAACCUACCUCAGAGACUGGGACAACAGUUAGAAAUGACUGCUAAUACCGGAUAAUUUAUAAACGGAUAACUGUUUAUACUAAAAGGAGCUUCGGCUUCACUUUGAGAUGGGCUUGCGGAGCAUUAGCUAGUUGGUAGGGUAAUGGCCUACCAAGGCAACGAUGCUUAUCCGAGCUGAGAGGCUGAUCGGACACACUGGGACUGAGACACGGCCCAGACUCCUACGGGAGACAGCAGUUAGGAAUAUUCGUCAAUGGGGGAAACCCUGAACGAGCAAUGCCGCGUGAGUGAUGACAGUCUUAUAGAUUGUAAAACUCUGUUAUAGAGGAAGAACCCCCAUUAUAGGUAAUGAUAAUGGGCUGACGGUACUCUAUCAGAAAGCCCCGGCUAACUACGUGCCAGCAGCCGCGGUAAUACGUAGGGGGCGAGCGUUAUCCGGAUUUAUUGGGCGUAAAGCGUGUGUAGGCGGUUUAUUAAGUUUAAGAUUAAAGCCCGAGGCUUAACCUCGGUUCGUCUUAAAAACUGAUAGACUUGAGUAUGGUAGAGGCAAAUGGAAUUUCUAGUGUAGCGGUUAAAUGCGUAGAUAUUAGAAGGAACAUCAGUGGCGAAGGCGAUUUGCUGGGCCAUUACUGACGCUGAGACACGAAAGCGUGGGGAGCAAAUAGGAUUAGAUACCCUAGUAGUCCACGCCGUAAACGAUGAGUACUAAGUGUCGGGAAACCGGUGCUGAAGCUAACGCAUUAAGUACUCCGCCUGAGUAGUACGGUCGCAAGACUGAAACUCAAAGGAAUUGACGG